This 62-nucleotide transfer RNA is filed under the name Stenchaetothrips biformis. RNAcentral's name for it is "tRNA-Met". The record is from RNAcentral. Lineage: Eukaryota; Metazoa; Arthropoda; Insecta; Thysanoptera; Thripidae.
CUAAAAAUAAGUUAAAUUAAACUAUUGGAUUCAUAAUCCAACCUUGGCUAAGCCUUUUUAGA